This 354-nucleotide unclassified non-coding RNA is filed under the name soil metagenome. RNAcentral's name for it is "partial contains 5.8S ribosomal RNA, internal transcribed spacer 2, and large subunit ribosomal RNA". The stretch from base 1 to 120 matches the Rfam family "5.8S ribosomal RNA", at positions 35 to 154 of the family's 154-position model. The record is from RNAcentral.
GAUGAAGAACGUAGCGAAAUGCGAUAAGUAAUGUGAAUUGCAGAAUUCCGUGAAUCAUCGAAUCUUUGAACGCACAUUGCGCCCCCUGGCAUUCCGGGGGGCAUGCCUGUCCGAGCGUCAUUUCUGCCCUCCAGCCCGGCUGGGUGUUGGGCGCUGUCCCCCCGGGGAUACGCCCCAAAGGCAGUGGCGGCGCCGCGUCGGGUCCUCGAGCGUAUGGGGCUUUGUCACCCGCUCGGGACGGACUCGUCGGCGCUGGUCUUCCUCCAGGCGACCCUUCGGGGCUCGUCUUCCUUCGGUUGACCUCGGAUCAGGUAGGGUUACCCGCUGAACUUAAGCAUAUCAAUAAGCGGAGGA